GCCCCUGUGAUGUGAGUAACUGCCCCGAGGGUGUGAGUAACCCCCUGUGAUGGGAGUAACUGCCCUGAGGGUGUGAGUAACCCCCUGUGAUGUGCAAGUGUCAAGUGGCAGUGCAGCCUCAGCACCCAGGUGGCUGUGACAGGACACGGCUGUGACAGGACACAGCGUGACGGGUGAGCCUGGAUGGUGCAUCCAGAGGAGUCUGGUGCCAGCACGAGGGAGUCCCCUCUCAGCAGGGGAGGGAUCCUUCACUGUUUACCCAAAGGAGUUUAUGAAUCUGACUCUUGGCACUUGGGAGAGGGAUUAGGAUUGGGAGUUUGAGAAUGUGUUUCAGGGGAUGUGGGUGCAGUAGAGCUGCUCUGGGCAGGAGUGGUGGCCAGGGGGAGGCUGGGCAGGCACUGCUCAGUAGGACAAGCUGCUGACUUUGAGAACAGACAGACCCAGCCCAGGACAAAUUAUGUAACUGCUGCUUUUUCAUCAGUCUGUUCCCCUGACUUCUCUUUGCAGGUUAAUUGACUCUAUUUGUGUGUCAAGGCCACUUAGAGCUUUCUUCUAUAAAUGACUCCUGCCUCAUCUGAUGGCACAGUUAAAUGUCUGAAUUGUUUCUAAGAUCAAAAAAAAGUGGAACUGAAACUUUUCUAGGCAGUUGAUGUGGAAGCAUGGGAUCCUUGCUGAAUGGUUACUCUUUUUUUUUUUUUUUUUUGCUAGCUUUGGUCUGGCUUUCUUUCCGUGCAGGAUGGAGACAGGGGCUUUCAAGUGAUGCAUUUUGUGGAGAUUUGGGCUGGGCUGGGCCUUGGCUGCCUGGAGACACCAGCUCUGCUCAGAGGCCUCCCCCAUGGAGGAGGUUGGGGGUGGGAGUCCCACACUAGCACUGAAAAUUGAGGGUAGUCCAUCAACAAGAGACUCUAAAUUGUAUUUCAAGACCAAACAGCAUCCUUGGACCAGGGAUGUGGGAUUUUACCUGGGGCCCAUUUGUAGAAGUUACUGGAUGAGCUGCUGCAAACUGCUUUAUAGGUGGAGUUGGAUUAAAGGAUCUGACCAAAAUUAUUCAUGAUGCUCUAUUUGCAGUAUGUGUCAUUUUGAAGUCUUACAGCACCUGGUCCAUCUACUUUUUCAUUGGGCUUGUUUGUGCAGGAAAGUCAAGUUUCAUACAAAAAUCUCUUUUAGUUCUUUGGCUGUUGAAGCUUCAGUGGGAAACAUGGGGAAAAUUCUGUUUUUCAAGACUUGCUCCAUAUUCAGAUGGUCCAAAGCCAGUUUUUAUUCAAUCUGGUCUUAGUGUUGGAUAAAUAGAUCAAUUUGAUCUAUUUAUAAUGAGAAAUAAGAGAAUGGAGAAAAGUUUGGCUAGUCCCCCCUGAGUUGUGGGUCUAAAGUAUGCUCUCCAACACAAGCAGCCCUUAACUCUCCCUAGCAGGGGUCGUGUCAGAGUGCAGGGCAGUGUGAGGAGCAGCCUGCACCCUCUCACUUGUGCUCUGAGCUGUCACUGCAGACAAUGGACUCAGGUGCCUCCUCCAGCCCAGGUGAGACGUGCCUUGAGUGCAUCUCUGAGAUGGCAGCAGAUGCCAAAGGAUCCCUGUGAGUGGGCUGGGAGCUGUCUGUGGACAGGGAGACACAAAAAACCACAGCCUGAAGGCCAUGGGAACAGGCUUGGAGGAGCAGCCACCCAGCUCUGAUGGGUCCCAGCAAGGCCUGGCUCAGUCAGACGAUGUUUGCUUUGCCCUUCCCUCCUCCUUUUGCCUUUUCCAGGGUGGCUCUGCCAGUCUUUAGCACCACUGUUCCAAGUGCCCUUCCCCUGGACUGAAGGGGUAAAUCCAGCCCCGAGGGGAUGGCACUGUGACACCUCACUGAAGGGGUAAAUCCAGCCCCGAGGGGAUGGCACUGUGACACCUCACUGAAGGGGUAAAUCCAGCCCCGAGGGGAUGGCACUGUGACACCUCACUGAAGGGGUAAAUCCAGCCCUGAGGGGAUGGCACUGUGACACCUCACUGAAGGGGUAAAUCCAGCCCUGAGGGGAUGGCACUGUGACACCUCACUGAAGGGGUAAAUCCAGCCCCAAGGGGAUGGCACUGUGACACCUCACUGAAGGGGUAAAUCCAGCCCCGAGGGGAUGGCACUGUGACACCUCACUGCCUGCCUGAGGAGGGUCCUCCCAGGCAGGAGGCCCUGGCACGGUGCUGCUGCACCAUUUCUCUCUUCACAGCCACAGCUGGGCUCCACAGAGGUAUUUCUGCUUUGCUGAAGCCUGAAUCAAAGCCAUCAGCCACUUGCCCUGUGGGGUCACACUCUGCUGGGCUGGUGAGGAGACACAGGAUAUUCCCAUCACUGUUCUCAGUCGUGUGGCUGUGCCAAGGCAGAGGAAACACAAAGGUAAGACCAUGUAUCCUCUGGGGUGCAAGGUGCUGGUGGCCACCCACAGCCCGUGGUGUUGGAGUGUGCAGAGGCAGCAGGUGCUCAGCAGCUCCUCUCUCUGGAGCAUCCCUUGUGCUUGGGAAGCUGGAUGUGCCCAGUCCUGCUGCCCUGGCCCUGCUGUGACCCUCAGCGAGGUUUGGGACAGGCAGGGCCCCAGCAGUGCUGGCAGCAGGAGGACGGGUGACGCACAGGUCACACAUCAUGAUGCCACUUGUGCUAUUGCAUAAAUCAAGGGGAUUUGGGUGAGGGUAACGAGGGCAACUUGGGGCUCUGAGCUGGGGAGGAUGAGGCCUUGGAAGAUUUUAAUUUUCUACACUGAGCAGUCCAAGGGUGGGGGCUGUGGCCACACUUGGACUAGUGGGGAUAGACUGAGGGUAGCCCACGCUGAGGAGGGAGGUGGGCUGCAGUUCCCCCCACCAGGCUCUCACCCCUCUGCCAGCUUUGCUCAAUUAUGGGAAAUCCUUUAAGCUUUUGCAUUAGUGCUGUAUUUAGGUCUGCACUGUAUUAGGGCUUGGCAUAGGGAGCACAGUGAGCUUUCUCACUUAAUAAAGAAUGUUUUAAAGGCAUUUGUCACCGUGCCCGCUGCCGGGAGCCAGCUCUCUGGGCAGGCAGGGAGGGUGCUGUGGGAGGUGAGGGAGCUGGGCUGGCUCCAAGGCCUGCUGUGCUUGGCCCUGGCCAGGUCCCAUCCCUGUCCCUGUGCUGCCACACUGAACAUUGGGACAGAGGGUCCCGGUGUGCCCCCAUUGCCCACCCAGCCUGGGGGUACCUCAGGGCUGCAGCUGGUGACCUCCCCACCCAGCUGCUGGCAAAGCCCAGCCGCCCUCCUGCGAGGCUGCAGCGCUGCUGUGCUGGCGGGAGGCCCCUCCUGCUGGCAGUGAAUGUGUCACCGGGAUCGUGAGUCACCAACACCCACUGCCAGCAGCCAGCCUGGCCGGUCCUGGGCCGGGCUGCAGGGCAGGAGUGGGACAGAUCUGCCUCCUCCUGCUCCUCUGCCUCUCCCUCCUGCAGCCUCACCAGCCUGCAUCUCCCACAGGGCACCAAAUGAUGGGGUGUGCCUCAGGCAGCGCUUACCUGGGGCUGAGGUGACAGGCAGCUUCCCUGGAGCAGGGUGGGGAUGUAUCCCCCCACAGCCCUGCUCACAGCAGUCUGACCUGCCACAGCUCUACCCCUGGAUCUUGGACAGCUUGGCAAGGAUGAGGCUGAGGGGGCUGCCUGCAGAAAUGUGUGUCCCCUGGACUGCAAGUAGCUGAAGCUGGGGCUGGGCCAGCUCAGGGUGUGCUGCUGGGAGCCAGGAGGAGCCUCUGGACUCCCCUUUCUGUGUGGAUUUUUCUUUUAAUCUGGUAAUUGUUCAGCCAACAGUAUUAGAUAUAGAUUUUUUGAGCCUCUGGUGAUGGGCUGUGGCAAAUGUCCCACACUCUUGUGGUGGGCAAAGCUCAACCUUUGGUUUGAGGGCAAGUGAGGAGCCUUCCCUCCCUGCUCAGCCUCCUGAGUGGCACUUCAGCAUUUUGAUCCUUGUCCCCAAACUCCAACCCCUGCAGUCAUUGUGAGGGCCACAACCUGGAGAAAGCCAGGCUUCUGCAUCAGACCAUGGCUACUCAUGAAGGACAGGAGAGAAGAUGGGCUGUGGCUCAAGCGACAUCCCUGGGCAAGCCCAGUGUAAGUGCAUGUGGCAGCCCCCUUGUUGGGGGCUCAGCCUGAGCCCUGGCAGCCUCUUCCCCUUUCCCUCGGACCUGCUGAGUGAGCAGGAAAAGCAAAAUUUUGUGGGAUUGUUGUGGAUCUGCUGCUGAAUCAGGCCCCAGAGCAAAAGCCUCUCCCAAAACCACUACUGGGGUCCCUAGAGAGUGUCCCAACCCCAGAGAGAAAUCAUCAGACAGGGAAAGCUUUCAUUUCCUUUCUGUCUUUGCCUUCUCCAGGGCCAGGCUUGAUUAUUCCUUUCAGCAACACAAAGUGCUAGAGAGGCUCAGCAGCCAGAGAUCAAUUUUCUCUGCUCUUGGUGCAAUGUGUCUGUGCAGGGGGAAGUGGCUUUUUUCCUUCCCAUUGUGCUGAGACUUGGUGGGUGGCACCAGGGGCAGUGGCAGCUGCGUUACCAGAGGGAGGGUGGCAGGGAACGUGUGCCAGCCCUCACCUGGUGCUGUGCUGAUGGGGGUGUCAAAGCCUUUCACUCACAGCCACUGAAGAGCAAAGAUAUUGCUGGGAAAGAAAUCCCAGCUUGUCUCAGACAUCAGUAUCACUCUGAGGCACAGUGCAGGGUGGGACUCCACUGCUGCCUCUGCUCCUGCUGUGGCAUCCUCUCUCAUUCACCAUAAAGCACUUGCUAAUGGAGGACAACUUUCUUUCUAGGGAACAUGCAAAAAUUUGUCUCCACAGGAAUAAUAUACAAAGAUCUCAUGUUUAAGUGAUUGGAACGUAGUGGCAGCACAAGGUACGAAGACUGAACACAGAGAUGGUUCUCAAUUAUGCAGACAAGAUAAGGAAAAAAAAAUUAGAGAAUUUCAGAAUUUUAAGAAGAUCGGAAAGAAUUUGGCAUGGGAUUAAGUAUUAGAGAAAAUAUUAGAACAGCAAAAAAGCAGAUGAGAAAAGCCUGAGGAGUGAGGCAGAUGGACCAGAGUAAGGAAAGCUGCAAGGACUAACCAAGGGAUGAGCCCUGGCACUGUCCCCACAGCAUCCCAAGUCCACAUUCCCACACUGGAGCUGUGGCACAAGGCAGAGGGAAGAGAAUCCUCUCCCUGGCACUGGCAUGGCUGGACUUGCUCGGGGACUGCUGACAGUGACAGUCCAUGGCUGUGGGUCAAUGAGGCAGCGAGCCCUCGGUGUGCGUGGUGGCUCAGCCCAUGCAGGGCUCUUUGUUGGUCCAUCUGUGCAGGGUUGGAGGUGGUUGCCUGCUCCUGGAGGCUGGGAGGGAGCACCAGCCUGGCAGAGCCACAGUUUGCUUCCACCAGCCAAUGGUUUGAUCCUCUCCAGACUGUGCAAAUUAGGAAACUCUUUGAAACAGCAAAGUGUCACGCUGCAAUGCCAGGCAGCAGCCCUUUGCUUCUUCAGGCAGAAAUACAGCUGGGGUUUGGAUCACCAGCUUUUAUCCACAAAAUGCUCAAGCAAGUUCAUAAACUGCAGAACAAAAUACUGAAGACUGCAGGUAAUUAUGGCAGAGACCUCUGGAGUCCUCCCCAGCACGAGGAGCCCCAGCAAAGCUGUCAAUGGCUCCCACUGCUUCUGAUCCUGGCUGGCAAAUAUUAAUUUUGGUUUUUUCAAGUUGAGAAAUUAACUGCUUUGCAACCCCAUCUAAUUUGAAUACUCUAAUUAAGCAAUUUCGGCAUUUUUCUCCUCCCAGGACUUUCCCUGGCCAAGCACUUUAACCCCUUGGUUCCCAGGCUCCUGGAGCAGCCUCUGAGGUCUGCUGGUUUGGCUCCCUUGGAUGAUGAUGAUGGAUGCCACAUGUCACCCAGGCUGCAGCUCUCCAGGUGUUAUGAAGACCCUUGCUGGAGUCUGGAUUGUCUCCAAGCAGCCAGGUGUUCUUUCCAGGAAAGCUGACAGCUCUGGUGUGGAGGACACAGAGCUUUGUCCCAUUGCCCUCCCUUGACAGGGGAGCUGAUCAAGUGUCUCACCAUGAGCUCGCCGUGUUCCUGCUCUGCAGAUGGUUUUUUGGCUGCUGGCAAAGGCAGCCUGGGGGAAGCUCUGCCUGGCUCCCACUGCCCAUGGCUCUGCCACUGCACUGCUGUGGAAAGCCUUUCCCUCAGGCUGAUCUCUGGAGGCAUCUCAUCCAAGAUGUGCAGGGUGGCCAUUUGGGGACACGUGCCAGGCACAGGGACUCUGCUGAUGUGUUUGCACAUCCUCAGCUGUGGCUGGGGAAUAGAGGUGGAUGGGAAAGUGGGUGUCCUCAGCAUGGGGAACAGAGCCAUGCCAGGAACAUGGUCUGUGAUAUUCUGAUUUGAUAUUCCAUGACUCUAAAUCUAGUAGGAUGUGCCACCCUGCAGCAUUUGGUGACAGUGGCACUGGCCACUGGGAAGAAUCUCCCACACUCCAUGAGUGCUGCCAAAACUCAAAUAUUGUGCAUCCCAUGCUGGCCAGGAGUGAUGCUCCAGGAAAGGGCCACCAGUAUUCCAACAGAAAUGUCCCCGUGUCACCCCCCCAGGGCACUAAGGAGCCACGAGGACGAGGGGCUCGGCAGUCUCAGUGACACUGCCUGUCCCAGGGCUGGGGACAGCACAAGGCAGGGCUGUUCUGGUCUCAGGUCACUGCACAACCUGGCAGUGCCCGCCCAGGGACUCAGCACGCUUUAAUGAGCUCAGAGGCAGAGCCUGCAUGGAGGAAUUAACGACUCGGAAUAAUACUUGUCACUUCUCUGUGAGGAAAUUGUCAAGUGAAAAGCAAUUUACUAAAAAGGAGGGAGGAAAGAAAUGGUUUUGCUUAUUAAGAUCAACAUCAUAUUAAAGUAUUUUCUCAAUACCCCAUUUGGGUUGAAUUUUACAUUUUCUCUCUCUUGUUCUCACCAAAGGAAGUAAAGCAGGGGGUUUCACUCUAAUUAAUUGUUGUCUGCUUCAUUUGGCCAGCAAAUUUCAUGAGCAAGGUUACACAUUUCUAUAGCAUUUGAAUUGCAAAUGCUGCAGGAAUAUGAUAAAAAAAGGAAAACAUGUGGAAUUCUAAAAGCAAAUGGGAAUGCUUUCUGUAACACAUCAGUUUAAAAUUGCUUUAUGCUUACAAAUCUUAAAAAUAUAUCUUGACAGAGUAUUUACCUUCCCCCCUCCUUUAUUUUCAUUUGGAAUUUAAAGCAACAGGUUUGGUUUAUGUGUUCACAGUUGUCUUUUUUAGCCUUAAGGAGCUGUAUUUUCAGUUCUACUCUACUGUUGGCUAGAAACUUUAAAAUAUGUAUUUGUAUUUCUAUGAAGAAGCUGUCCCAUGUGUUGGUGAUUUAACAAAGGUAAAUCUGAGGACAGCCUCCCCUCAGCUUUGCAGAAAUCUGUGGAAGGUGGUACCCAGCAGGAGAGGCUGCUGUGCUGGCAUCAUGUCGGGUGUGUGCAGGACAGGCCACGCAGAGCCACGGAGCUGCAGCUCGGGGUGAGCCCAGCAGACCCGGAGAGAGCAGCUGGAGGCACCUCCCAGGCACUGCAGAAAGGAUUACAGCAGCCUGGACUGUGAAGGGCAACGAGGAGACAGCUCAAUGUCUGGAGAAAAUGUCUGGAGAAAAUAGGAAGAGGAAUGACCCGUGAAAGCACAUUUCUGGCUUGCUCACACGGAGCAGUGACUCAUCCCCAGCCCGAGCCCCAGGGAUGCUGAUCCAGCAUCAGAGGGAUACCAGGAGAGAGGGCUGCUGGGGAGGUGAGGGCUGCAGGCAGUGAGUGUGCCUGGGUGUAGCAACAGCACCUUCCCCUGUGGUGCUCUUCAGCUCCUGGGCCAAGCUCCUCUAAAUGCUGGUGAUCUGGUGCCUUGUCUGAGAGCCAAAGAGAGAUGCUGCUCCCAGAAAUCCCAAUAGUCUCCUUGCUGUAUCAAUUAUAUUUCAGUGCAGCCCUACUUCUUCAGAAUUGGUAAUUGCUUUGGAAAAUGUCCUUUACCUCUUUUGAAGCACCAUUAUGCCUUUUGUUGCAACUAAAGUAAUGGCUAAAAGCUGAGGGAUGGCAGAAAAUCAGAAAUUUCUGAGAAAGUCCUCAGGAUUUGUCUCUGACUCAUCUCUAUAUUGGCAAGAAAA
This is a long non-coding RNA of Passer domesticus (house sparrow), 8086 nucleotides long. RefSeq lists it as uncharacterized. The transcript is spliced from 2 exons. The record is from RefSeq and is a predicted model, not a curated record. NCBI's taxonomy places the organism in Eukaryota, Metazoa, Chordata, Aves, Passeriformes, Passeridae.